AGGGAUUGUUUGGUCGGCUUCGGUAAGCAAGGGAUCAUUCAAGUUCAGUAAGGCGAGGGAUCAAAUCGGAUUCCGUAAGGGACGGGCUCUCUCGGGUUUACUAAGUGAAGGGAUGUGUGUAUACGAGAGAAACAUGCAAACCACCCCUGCUUCGAUCGAGCCCGACCAUCCACCGUAUACCGAUAAUCCACGAAAUUUUUCUCGCCCUCACUUCUACAACGAUUUUGACGUCAUGGACGGGCCAAAGAACGUCAUCAAGGUACACAUUCGGCCCAUCGAGGACGAAAAACUCAUUUUCUGUCAUAAUGUUGUGUCAUUGAAGUUAUUAUCCACCACAUC
This 339-nucleotide long non-coding RNA is filed under the name Hordeum vulgare. Its description in RNAcentral is "long non-coding RNA (HVUL_LNC005133)". The record is from RNAcentral. Lineage: Eukaryota; Viridiplantae; Streptophyta; Magnoliopsida; Poales; Poaceae.